UUUUAGCCCCGAUAGAAGCAAAAAUCCUUGUGAGCCGGGGUUCGGCUCACAAGAUUAUAGCGGAUAGCGGAACAAUAC
This 78-nucleotide small RNA is filed under the name Flavobacterium sp. 1. RNAcentral's name for it is "Flavo-1 RNA". It matches the Rfam family "Flavo-1 RNA". Lineage: Bacteria; Pseudomonadati; Bacteroidota; Flavobacteriia; Flavobacteriales; Flavobacteriaceae. The record is from RNAcentral.